The sequence is a ribosomal RNA, 264 nucleotides long. It matches the Rfam family "Bacterial small subunit ribosomal RNA", at positions 1082 to 1346 of the family's 1533-position model.
AAGUCCCGCAACGAGCGCAACCCUUAUCCUUUGUUGCCAGCGGUCCGGCCGGGAACUCAAAGGAGACUGCCAGUGAUAAACUGGAGGAAGGUGGGGAUGACGUCAAGUCAUCAUGGCCCUUACGACCAGGGCUACACACGUGCUACAAUGGCGCAUACAAAGAGAAGCGACCUCGCGAGAGCAAGCGGACCUCAUAAAGUGCGUCGUAGUCCGGAUUGGAGUCUGCAACUCGACUCCAUGAAGUCGGAAUCGCUAGUAAUCGUG